CUCUAACUAUAUCCAUGCAGCCCCUUAAUCAAUCACACAUACAAAUUAGCUUUGAUCUCGAACUGUUGCCGGAGUCCUCUUCUUCUUUUCUGUGUUGCAAGUGCAUGUAGUGCCUGCUUGCCUCUGUCUUUCUCCGUCUGGAAGGUAGGUUGUUUAUUUGAGAGGUUUGGAUGAAAAUUCCUCAUAACAGUCUUAAUGCACUUAGAUUGCAGUGUUUAUUAUGAUUUGAAGUGAAUCUAAAAUUCCUCUUCGUGUUUUGGGUCCCUCCUUUGCUUUUGCACUUUAAAUCCCUUGCUGCCUAAAUUCAACAACACAUAAAUAGUCUGCUUAUGUCUACAGAUGGUUUCAAUACUCAAAGUAAAGGAAGAUACUAUUUGUUUUGAUACAAGUCAAAUUUGGUAUUCAAAUCAAUGGUAUAUUUAUCAUGUUUAUUAUGAUCAUCAUUGUUGUACAUGUUUAUAAAAUGAUAAAUCCUUGGUUUAACAGACAAACUUUGUUCAAUGCCACUGAUAUAGACGUAAUCCAGGAUUCACUUGGUUGGAAAUGAAAUUUUUAAUAUGAUUGUGGAAAUAAAUCCAAAAAUGGUAAUUGAAAGGAAGUUUUGUAAUAUUCCAGAAUUUGAAAGAAGAAUAGGGACUGAAAUCGGUAAGAUUCCAGAAUUUGAAGCUUUGAUAUGAUAAUUUUGUCGCGCGAUUGUCAAGGUCGAUUGUACUUGGAUCUCAAUAUUGUGUUAUUAUGGGUUUUCGGUUUGAUCUGUUGUUUGGUUGUCUUCCGCAGUUCUAAAUAUUGUUCAUUGAAAUAUUUGGGUGUUUUUGCUCUGUUGAAUCACCUUUCGUUCUUAUAAUGUCAUAUUUUUGGUAUGCUGGGUUUUGAGAAAUGAGAUAGCUACAAAGAAAGUGUGCAGUUUAUUGAUCAUAUUUGGUAUGCUGCGUUUUGAUCCUCAAGGAUUAGACUUUGCAAUUAGAAGUGGAGAUUAUUGUUUUUACUGUUUUCUCUUUCUUUAUUUGUUUUUAGGUAUGAAAAAUGUAAUUUGUUGUUUUUAUGUAGUUUAGACUGGAAAGUUGUAUAUGGUGGGAUAUUAAGCUUCUGUAUCAUUGUUGCUGUAUUUAUUUGAUGUGAAAUUUGGGAUUUUGUGAUCAAAAGAUUAGUUAUUAUAUCAAUGCUUUAUGAUACUACUUGCAUUAAGUGGAGGUUUUUUUGGCCAGAUCACCUUAGUGACUUGGUCAUGCUCAAUUUUGUGGUGUACUAAUGAAACUACUGUCAUUGUUUGGUGGCAGACGAACAUAUGAAUUAGCUAGAUUUUGACCGGAAACCUCACUGAUUGUGCACACAACUCCAUCCAUUCAAGAGAAAACUCCAUCAACGGCUAUUUCAGGAGCAUACUUCAAUUCAAUUUAUGCAUCGUAAUACAAAAUUUUGGCCAAAAUGUACCUCACUUCAGAACAUAAUUUCAAUAAAAACAAUUCCUCUGGAAUUUUUCCCUGCGUGCCUUACAUAAAAAUUUCUGGUAUCUAAUUCUAUAAUAUUAACAACAUUACCAU
Long non-coding RNA from Rosa chinensis, 1541 nucleotides. RefSeq lists it as uncharacterized. NCBI's taxonomy places the organism in Eukaryota, Viridiplantae, Streptophyta, Magnoliopsida, Rosales, Rosaceae. The record is from RefSeq and is a predicted model, not a curated record. The transcript is spliced from 2 exons.